Nicotiana attenuata is the source of this 508-nucleotide long non-coding RNA. RefSeq lists it as uncharacterized. The transcript has 2 exons. The record is from RefSeq and is a predicted model, not a curated record. NCBI's taxonomy places the organism in Eukaryota, Viridiplantae, Streptophyta, Magnoliopsida, Solanales, Solanaceae.
AGAAAACAGAACAAGGUUCUGUUAUUCACGAAAAGGAUUAGAAGGAUAAAGCCUUAGACAAAAACAGAACAAACUCAUGAAACAGAGAGUCACGAAACUCACGCAGGCAACGAAAAAUGGUUCUUUACAAAUCACUAAUCCUUGAACUCAGAAUCACUUGUUUGACUGGUGUCAAUUGGAAUGGGGUCUACGUAUUGGCUCGAGAAGUUUUGAGGUGAGUUGAUAUAAUCCUUUACCAAAAUGGUUUAACUUACAAAAGUAUGCAUACAAGGUGUUUGAUGAAUUGGCUAAAAGAGUGAAUAUGUACUUAAUUGAAGUGAGUGAGUAGCUCAUCUUACUUUUCCCAACUCAAAAGUUUUCUGCCUCACAUUUAAUUUCAAAUUGUUUCCCCUUAUGUAGCGGAAAUAAAGUUCCUACUAUUAGGUUUGUUCAGAAUCUGUAUUUUCAGUUUGAUACAGUCGUAUUAGAAACACAGUAAGAGUAAAUAUUGUGAGGAAUCCAAUUCAUA